This 423-nucleotide ribosomal RNA is filed under the name uncultured Chlorobiota bacterium. RNAcentral describes it as "bacterial SSU rRNA". It matches the Rfam family "Bacterial small subunit ribosomal RNA", at positions 355 to 776 of the family's 1533-position model. Lineage: Bacteria; Pseudomonadati; Chlorobiota. The record is from RNAcentral.
UGAGGAAUAUUGCGCAAUGCCCGAAAGGGUGACGCAGCGACGCCGCGUGAAGGAUGAAGGCCCUCUGGGUCGUAAACUUCUUUUGCAGAAGAAUAACAGGUUGCUACAGGCAGCUCUGAAUGUAUUCUGUGAAUAAGCAUCGGCUAACUACGUGCCAGCAGCCGCGGUAAUACGUAGGAUGCGAGCGUUGUCCGGAAUCACUGGGUGUAAAGGGAGCGCAGGCGGGUCGGUAAGUCGCUGGUGAAAUUUCCAGGCUCAACUUGGAAACUGCCAGUGAUACUGCUGAUCUUGGGUGCAGAAGAGGUUGAUGGAAUUCCUGGUGUAGCGGUGAAAUGCGUAGAUAUCAGGAAGAACACCGAUGGCGAAGGCAGUCAACUGGUCUGUUACCGACGCUCAUGCUCGAAAGCGUGGGGAUCAAACAGG